Long non-coding RNA from Lathyrus oleraceus (garden pea), 1476 nucleotides. RefSeq lists it as uncharacterized. NCBI's taxonomy places the organism in Eukaryota, Viridiplantae, Streptophyta, Magnoliopsida, Fabales, Fabaceae. The transcript is spliced from 6 exons. The record is from RefSeq and is a predicted model, not a curated record.
UUUUUCAUUUUCUCCUCUUCUGUUAUAACCUUACCCAUUAAAAACCAAAUCUUAGCCGUGUAGUUUCCAAAUCAAAAACAAAGGUCCAAAGAAAUCGAAACAAAAACGAAUCAACAAGACAACAGAAAUCUCAUGUAAUAAUCAUGGGGGUUAUGGCAUUUGAGGCGAUGUGAACAAGAUGGCAAUAUCAAAUCAUGCAAAGGAGAAAUGUUAAAUACCAAAUCGGAGCUAGUCCGACGUUUCAACUCCGGCAAGGUGAGGGGGCUUAGCUCGAGCUUGUUGAGCUUCGGUGUGAAAAUCUCAACAAGUUCAAAACAGAGCUUUUUUAACUAGGGUUUUGGAAUGAUUUCUCCAGAGUAACGGCGCAGAAAUUCGGAUCCCUACUUCAUCCCUGGAGGUCCUUAUUUAUAGCAUUUUUGAUGUACGAGGUUUUGAAUUCCUCUCUCAUGAGCUUGGCAAAUUAGUGGGAGAAUCAUUCCGUUAGGUAGCAGAAUUUCUCAGAGUUAGUGGUGCUUCAAAUCGGUGUGGUCCUUCAAAUGCUUUACUCUUCUCAAUCUCCCACCAACGGUUCAUGAUGACUUGUGCAUCACACUUCUGAAAUGGUUAUCAAGGUUGGAACAUCGCAUCGGUUUCAUUCACUGCAGUUAGCUUAAUUAAUCCAUAGAGUGGAGGUUUACAAUAUUCACGUAUCGAUGCGGUUUUGGCCAAUGGUUGUAGGCUUGUGCUCCGUGAUUCUAUUACCAUGAGGUUGGUGCUUUUGUAAGGAUGCAUUUGUGAUAUGCAGGUUUGGAUAUUGAUUCCCAUAUCCUUGCUUGGAAAUCUAAUUUGACAGUCUUAUUAGCCUCAAAAACUGUUUCCAAUGAAUUUCCCUGGAAAGCAACCAAUCAACAGAGCAACACAGAAGCGCUUCAGCACUCCCAAUAUCAACCUUCUCAGAGUGUUUGCCCGACAAUACUUCGGGGCAACCUAUGCAGGGCUUUCAGCCAAUCCAGUCAAGUUUUGACCUUCCCAAAUUCUCAUAUUGAGUUCAAAAUCUGUAGGCUUUAACUUUCUUGAUUUUUCAGGUUUGAUAUCUCUGUGCACGACUCUUGCGAGUCUUUGUUGCUGCUGAUGCAUUGCUGGAUGUUUGUUAUGAUGUAUUUCGGCUAGUGGUUGUGGUAUGCAGGUUUUUCCAUGUGCGAUUCUGAUGAAAACCAGGUGGUUCUGCAUCAAAUUCUUCCUGCAUUGCUUGCCGGUUAUGCGCGACUAAGGACUUGUUGGCGAGGUUGCAGACCUUCACUUUUGAUGUCCAUUCGCCAUGUUCAGAACAAUUCUCACCCUAUCACAUUUGCUUGUAAUACAUAGUGCCUUAGGGUAGGUCAUUCAUCUGUGCUCAACCGUGUAUGUACUUCAUAAUUCGAGGCAUAUACGGACUGCCCAUAAUUGGAAUAACUGUAUGCCAUACUUGUUGAUUUGUGAAUGUAAUCGUAAUUUUAG